This 245-nucleotide ribosomal RNA is filed under the name uncultured Lachnospiraceae bacterium. RNAcentral's name for it is "partial 16S ribosomal RNA". It matches the Rfam family "Bacterial small subunit ribosomal RNA", at positions 524 to 768 of the family's 1533-position model. The record is from RNAcentral. Lineage: Bacteria; Bacillati; Bacillota; Clostridia; Lachnospirales; Lachnospiraceae.
UACGUAUGGAGCAAGCGUUAUCCGGAUUUACUGGGUGUAAAGGGAGCGUAGGCGGCGGCCUAAGUCUGAUGUGAAAACCCGAGGCUCAACCACGGGAUUGCAUUGGAAACUGGGCUGCUAGAGUGUCGGAGAGGCAAGUGGAAUUCCCAGUGUAGCGGUGAAAUGCAUAGAUAUUGGGAGGAACACCAGUGGCGAAGGCGGCUUGCUGGACGAUUACUGACGCUGAGACUCGAAAGCGUGGGGAG